RNAcentral lists this transfer RNA (90 nucleotides) under Cyanobacteria bacterium DS2.3.42. Its description in RNAcentral is "tRNA-Ser". It matches the Rfam family "tRNA". From Rfam's summary of the family: Transfer RNA (tRNA) molecules are approximately 80 nucleotides in length. Their secondary structure includes four short double-helical elements and three loops (D, anti-codon, and T loops). Further hydrogen bonds mediate the characteristic L-shaped molecular structure. tRNAs have two regions of fundamental functional importance: the anti-codon, which is responsible for specific mRNA codon recognition, and the 3' end, to which the tRNAs corresponding amino acid is attached (by aminoacyl-tRNA synthetases). tRNAs cope with the degeneracy of the genetic code in two manners: having more than one tRNA (with a specific anti-codon) for a particular amino acid; and 'wobble' base-pairing, i.e. permitting non-standard base-pairing at the 3rd anti-codon position. The record is from RNAcentral. RNAcentral also lists the same sequence under 6 other names. Lineage: Bacteria; Bacillati; Cyanobacteriota.
GGAGAGGUGGCUGAGUGGUCGAAAGCGGCUUCCUGCUAAGAAGUUGUACGGUCAAAAGCUGUACCGAGAGUUCGAAUCUCUCCCUCUCCG